This 495-nucleotide ribosomal RNA is filed under the name uncultured bacterium. RNAcentral's name for it is "partial 16S ribosomal RNA". It matches the Rfam family "Bacterial small subunit ribosomal RNA", at positions 28 to 507 of the family's 1533-position model. The record is from RNAcentral.
GAUGAACGCUGGCGGCGUGCCUAAUACAUGCAAGUCGAACGCUGAAGGAGGAGCUUGCUCUUCUGGAUGAGUUGCGAACGGGUGAGUAACGCGUAGGUAACCUGCCUGGUAGCGGGGGAUAACUAUUGGAAACGAUAGCUAAUACCGCAUGACAACAGUUAUUGCAUGAUAACUGUUUAAAAGGGGCAACUGCUCCACUACCAGAUGGACCUGCGUUGUAUUAGCUAGUUGGUGAGGUAACGGCUCACCAAGGCGACGAUACAUAGCCGACCUGAGAGGGUGAUCGGCCACACUGGGACUGAGACACGGCCCAGACUCCUACGGGAGGCAGCAGUAGGGAAUCUUCGGCAAGGGACGGAAGUCUGACCGAGCAACGCCGCGUGAGUGAAGAAGGUUUUCGGAUCGGAAAGCUCUGUUGUAAGAGAAGAACGAGUGUGAGAGUGGAAAGUUCACACUGUGACGGUAGCUUACCAGAAAGGGACGGCUAACUACGUG